Molecule: long non-coding RNA, 960 nt
Filed under: Nicotiana benthamiana
Lineage: Eukaryota; Viridiplantae; Streptophyta; Magnoliopsida; Solanales; Solanaceae
Description: long non-coding RNA (NBEN_LNC037884)
Source: RNAcentral
GCACUACAGACAAAAACCAGUAAGAAUAUGACAAGAAAGACAUCUGUUGCAAUCAAAACAACAAAUAAUGUUUUUGUACAGUUGUUUAGUGAAACCAACAAGAUAUGCUGCAAGAAUAAUAUGGAGAAUAAUUUGCUGUAUAGCUAGUUAUCCAAUAAAAAUUGUGAACGAUGAAUUAGUUAGAAUUUUUUGAUAAGCAUGAAUGAUGACAAAGAAUUACUGCCAGAAAACAAAUAUUAAGCUUUAAACCUACAACAAUACAUAGCAGGAAAUCAUGUCAAAGUUAUAUUAAGUGAUACUCCAUAUAUAUAUGUGACUACAAGGAAAUUCUUCUGGCAAUAGCUAGCUAGUUUCUUUUACGAAGUAAUUAGUUCCAAUGAGAAAUUGUUACCUAGCUAAAAGCUACUCCUAUUUUUACUGUAAAAUUCAUCUAGUACUUCAUUCAACAAAGUUAUAUAUAAAUUGAUUGCUGCGUCUCUCUCCUCCCGUCGGCCAUAAUAUUAAACUUUAAACCUACAACAAUACAUAGCAGGAAAUCAUGUCAAAGUUAUAUUAAAUGAUACUCCAUAUAUAUAUGUGACUACAAGGAAAUUCUUCUGGCAAUAGCUAGCUAGUUUCUUUUACGAAGUAAUUAGUUCCAAUGAGAAAUUGUUACCUAGCUAAAAGCUACUCCUAUUUUUACUGUAAAAUUCAUCUAGUACUUCAUUCAACAAAGUUAUAUAUAAAUUGAUUGCUGCGUGUCUCAACCUAGUAAAAAUAUAGCGAACCUUCUCUUCGGGAUGAUCAGGAUUAGCUUCAAAUAUUUCCCAUGGUGGUUGGUCUCCAUAGAUAUCGGCAAAUUGGAAAUUAUGGCAUUCACUCUGCAAAAGUGUUGGGUAUUAUGAAUGAAUGGUGGAGACAAGAAAAUUAAAUGAGAGAAAGGGUAGGAAAACUUUAUGAAAUUGUGAAAUUAUUUUUUUU